ACUCUUUCGCAGGAAUAAGCGAAUGAAGACUGCAGAAGAACACGGCUAACUAUGUGCCAGCAGCCGCGGUAAUACAUAGGGUGCAAGCGUUGUCCGGAAUUAUUGGGCGUAAAGAGCUCGUAGGUGGUCGAUCACGUCGGAUGUGAAAAUCUGAGGCUUAACCUCAGACCUGCAUUCGAUACGGGUUGACUAGAGUGUGGUAGGGGAGACUGGAAUCCUGGUGUAGCGGUGGAAUGCGCAGAUAUCAGGAGGAACACCGAUGGCGAAGGCAGGUCUCUGGGCCAUUACUGACACUGAGGAGCGAAAGUGUGGGGAGCGAACAGGAUUAGAUACCCUGGUAGUCCACACCGUAAACGGUGGGCGCUAGUUGUGGGAACCUUCCACGGUUUCUGCGACGCAGCUAACGCAUUAAGCGCCCCGCCUGGGGAGUACGGUCGCAAGACUAAAACUCAAAGAAAUUGACGGGGCCCCGGACAAGCAGCGGAG
This 486-nucleotide ribosomal RNA is filed under the name uncultured bacterium. RNAcentral describes it as "bacterial SSU rRNA". It matches the Rfam family "Bacterial small subunit ribosomal RNA", at positions 430 to 937 of the family's 1533-position model. The record is from RNAcentral.